CAUUUUGCGAAAUUCCAUACUUUGCACAGUUUACAUAGUAUAUACUAUGGGAAUAGUAAGAGUAGUUUGCUAAAAUGCUAUUCCAAAUAAAUCCAUGGGAAUGAAAUGUGUGCAUGUUUGCGAGAGAAAGGAAGCAAUCAGGGUGUGAAGAUUCAAAUAGAUGGAUCCCAUAAAAUUUCCCAUUCACCAUGUCCUCCCGGUUCUCAGUUGAAACCGCCUGGGCUCCCCCUCCCCUCCCCUCCUCUCCUCUUACUUUUUUUUUUUUUACAGUGCUGCAGCAUUUGCUGAUUGAUGAGGGGGUGCAAUUGGACUCAUCCAUCAUGACUUGGCCAGGUUAGGUAUCCUUCUCUCACUCACCCUCUUUCAUUCUCUCUCCUGCUUACAGCCACACGUCUUGAUUGAACCUCAGAAGAAGCGGAUGUCAAACUUUUCGCCUCUUGUCUGUUCGCCUGCUACAUCACGGCAUCUAUCACCAGACCUUCAACUCAAAAAUGAAAUCGUUGAACAUAAAAUACUGUCCAUCAAACCAUAGUCCAUGUGGUAACCACAUGACCCUCUACAUCAACCUAAAGCAGCAGGAAGACAAGGGCGUGAUAUAUAGAAGAGGUCGAGAUGGAGAACACCUCCAUAAUAAAGGCACACGAAAAAAGGAUACAGGAACACUCCUAGAAAAAGAUGACCCAGCUCCCCCUUCCACGCCUGACGUUAACAAAGGCAACGGCAUUAUGGGAUAUAUGGGCCAGACAACGUAAAAAACCUCAGCCUGGUUUUCUCAUUCCCAUCACCUUCUGCUGUCUCAGGAGGAAAGAGGUGCUGGUUUUACCCCCGUGUGAUGAAUGACCAUCGCUCUCAAUUUCUGCCCACGCAUCACCUCUCAGUCACUUGGCGUCAGACCAUCACGCGGCUGGCAAUGAAGACACCUGGGGUGGUGAUAGACGGAGAGGUGUGAGCCGAGAGGAGGUUGCUUGGUCAAUAAAUUAAUCUGUCACUUUAUUCUCCUCA
Molecule: long non-coding RNA, 1002 nt
Organism: Cyprinus carpio (common carp)
Lineage: Eukaryota; Metazoa; Chordata; Actinopteri; Cypriniformes; Cyprinidae
Source: Ensembl